AAGAAAUUUCUUGGUGUCUUGGACCAGUCUAGAGUCACUCUCAAGUUAUGCAUAUCAAUAUAUUUGCUGGCACAAUUGUGUCCUACAGUCCUUAUGCUAACUUCUCCUAAGUGGAUGUCCCUCUCCCAGACACCAGCACAAAGUAAACUGGCUGCAGGAUGCAUGCUUGGAGUAGGCUGGGUUUUAGAACAGUGGGAGGGAAAUGAUAAAACAGUCUAGUCCUGAAUUACUGCAGCCAUUAAGUUUACCAAGGAAGAGACACCUGUUUUCCUUGCUGCCCAACGCAGUUCUUUGAAAGAGCCGGUGAACUGAGAGUUCCACUUUCUCCCUGAAGAAUAAAGCUGUAGACCUCACAUAGCCAGGGUGUUAACAAUGAACUUCAUAGAUACAGAGAACAAAUUGGUGCCUGCUGGAGGUGAGGUUAAGGGGUGGGAGAAAUGGGUGAACUGCAUUUUGUUUGUUUUGGUCUAAAAAAAAAAGAUUUUAAAAUUCCAAAAUUAAAAAAAAGAAAGAGUCAAUGCGCUUCACUACAGGUUUUAUUAAGGGGUAAGAAUGCACUGUAUCUGGGUAGCUGAUGAGGGGUAGAAUUGGUUGGGAGUGGAGUGAAGACAGGGAAGUGAGACAUUUCACUGAUGUUAAUUGUUUUCUAGGAUUACUCCGCAUCGAGUACUAGAAGGAUGUUUGUCUUAUCACUAUAUCCCCAGUGCCUGACAUAAUAUGACUGUUAUCACUUCUGUUUUACACAAAAGAAAUUGGAAGCACCGGGAAGCUUAGUGACCUGCCUGAUGUCCCAGAGCUAUUAAUGGUCACAACUUUGGCAAUUGUCUCUUCUUAUGUCAUGGUUCUGGGAAACAAGAAGAUUGCUCAGCCUUACUCCAAGGUAAGCUACCAUCCAAAGUCUUCCUUAGGUUACAGAUUUUCGUUUCAUUCUGUAUCAAAUUCAGUUAAGUUGCUCAGUUGUGUCCGACUCUGUGACCCCAUGGACUGCAGCACACCGGGCUUG
Non-coding RNA from Odocoileus virginianus texanus, 1003 nucleotides. The record is from RefSeq and is a predicted model, not a curated record. Lineage: Eukaryota; Metazoa; Chordata; Mammalia; Artiodactyla; Cervidae.